UACGUAGGGGGCAAGCGUUGUCCGGAUUUAUUGGGCGUAAAGAGCGUGUAGGCGGUUUGGUAGGUCCGCUGUGAAAACUCGAGGCUCAACCUCGAGACGCCGGUGGAAACCAUCAGGCUAGAGUCCGGAAGAGGAGAGUGGAAUUCCUGGUGUAGCGGUGAAAUGCGCAGAUAUCAGGAGGAACACCGGUGGCGAAAGCGGCUCACUGGACCACAACUGACGCUGAGGCACGAAAGCUAGGGGAGCAAACAGG
RNAcentral lists this ribosomal RNA (253 nucleotides) under uncultured bacterium. RNAcentral's name for it is "partial 16S ribosomal RNA". It matches the Rfam family "Bacterial small subunit ribosomal RNA", at positions 524 to 776 of the family's 1533-position model. The record is from RNAcentral.